Parasteatoda tepidariorum (common house spider) is the source of this 988-nucleotide non-coding RNA. Lineage: Eukaryota; Metazoa; Arthropoda; Arachnida; Araneae; Theridiidae. The record is from RefSeq and is a predicted model, not a curated record.
UCGAAAAUAAAAAAAGAAUGAGAAAUAUCACAUUACACGUGUUCACAACGAAAACGAAACUAACCACACGUGCUUCACUAUUCAUCAUUCUUCAAAAUAAUUCUUAAAAUUCUUUCGUUAACACCUGAAACUCAUUAAAAAGGCCCAAAACCUUGUAAGUGCUAAUAAUUUUUAAGGGAACUGCUUUAAUUAAGAAAAUUCAUUACUAAAAUCUUAGAUCCAUUAUCGUUAAACGGUGCUGUGCUUCCAACUCUCUCCGCCUCACUUAGAUCACAGCAUCAACUCAACAUUCUAUUUAUUAUCAAGAACCUGUUUCUUCUCCUUAGCUAACUGUAGUUUCGUUUCCCCUUUUCCACGUGUGGAACAUGUGUUGUCAUUUAAAUCGACGUUGAAUUAACCAUGUGCGUUUAAUUAUUUAAAAUAAGACGGAAAAUAUCUUUUUUUAUAUUAAGUUUUAAAAGAAUAUCGUCUAAAACCAUCAUAUCAUCAAUUCUGAGUAAUUUUUUGUGCAUUAAUUCGUCUUUUUUCUUUCUUACGUGAUAUUAAUUAAUUGAUGUGUUAAGAGUAUUCGAUAAUAUAAUUAGUGUUUUGGUGGAAUAAAUUUUUUAUUCAAAGCAAUUAUCCAGUGAUUCUAUGUGUAAAAAUGAGUAUUCUUCAUUGUGUUUUGAUUGAGGAUGCAUGAGCUUAUCAAAUUGGAUUAUUCAUUAUUAUAAAGUUUGAUGCAAUACUUAUGGAUUACACUAAACACGUGGGUAGAUGGACGGCAAUCUCGGAAUACGGAUUCUGCAAUCCUUGUGAGAAUAAUUAGGUUCCGAAAUGGCUGAGAACUCUUCACAAGACGUCCGUAGUUCAAUAUCGUCGAUCUUCGUCAGAAUAUGAUCGCCGAUUUCGAUAAAAUGUGACGCCUUACCCUCUCUAGUGGGAUUUAUGUAUUCCAUAAUUCUGUGUCAUAUUUAAUUUUCUCAAAAUAAAAGUACAUUAAUGCAGA